ACGGGUACGCAACACGUUUUUUUCCUGGGUGUGAACAACCCAACGCUUUCUGAUCACAUUAGGUGCAACAGGCUGAAGAGGUCCCAGCUCUGGAGCAGCCGCCUCCAGCCCAGCCUUUUGGCUGGGACCGUACCGGAGAGAGACAAAUCCCCACAACCUGCCCUAACCUGCAAGAGAGGAGAAGGCAAGGGAGAGUCGUCUUCUGACCCCUUUGAUGAUCAAACACUCCAAUUCUCCUUUCCUUUCUUUGACCGCUGACACAACAGCUUCACCUUGAAGAGCUGUUAGAGGAAACCUGAAACUUGGAUGCUGAGAGAAAGGCAGGGAGAAGAGAAUCCUCCAGCAGAAUGAGUUUUCUCUCUAGAUCUCCAUGUUGUCUUUGAAUUGCAAGAGCACCAUCUUGUGUUUAAAUCCAACACAGACUGCGCCCAGUCCUGGGGGUUUCCAUCCUCUCUGGAAGCACAAGGCGAUAAUAACAAGCUGCAAUCCAUGGCAAUUCUCAUCAGCAACCUGCCCACCAUCACUUUCCAGGACGUUUUGACAAGCAGGAAAACAAUUCACAUACUCGGGUUUGUUAUCUCAAAACAGCUUAAGAAGUUAACUAUAACCACGCAAAACGGCAACAAGUCCUGAAGGCCAUGCCGUGGAGUACGGUCCAAGGCCAAAAGGCCACCCUCAAAGCUUGUUUUACAGUAGAAUGUGCAUCAGAGAUCAUCAUAAAGUUAAAUAACAUUUACAGACUGUACUGCUCAAACAGCUUUCAAAUAGAUUACAGGGUGCUGAAAAAGGGGGGUGAUGGCAAAAAGAAUCCCUUAUUUUGGUUUGCUAUUCCCUUGUAGAAAAAGGGAAAUUAUCUCAAUCUCUCUCAAUAAGUUUGGGGUUUAAUUCCCAGCAAAAAAGUAUUUUCCAAUAAAGAGCAUUCACACUGAAA
Aquila chrysaetos chrysaetos is the source of this 931-nucleotide long non-coding RNA. RefSeq lists it as uncharacterized. NCBI's taxonomy places the organism in Eukaryota, Metazoa, Chordata, Aves, Accipitriformes, Accipitridae. The record is from RefSeq and is a predicted model, not a curated record. The transcript has 2 exons.